This 108-nucleotide transfer RNA is filed under the name Candidatus Aenigmatarchaeota archaeon. RNAcentral's name for it is "tRNA-Met". It matches the Rfam family "tRNA". Rfam says of the family: Transfer RNA (tRNA) molecules are approximately 80 nucleotides in length. Their secondary structure includes four short double-helical elements and three loops (D, anti-codon, and T loops). Lineage: Archaea; Nanobdellati; Candidatus Aenigmatarchaeota. The record is from RNAcentral.
GCCGAGGUGGCUCAGCCUGGAGGUUUCGCUUGCGAAUGCAAGCAACCGGGUGUUUAGAGCGCUGCGCUCAUAACGCAGAGGUCGCGGGUUCGAAUCCCGCCCCCGGCA